GAUCCUGGCUCAGGACGAACGCUGGCGGCGCGCCUAACACAUGCAAGUCGAACGAGAGAUGAGGAGCUUGCUCUUCAAAUCGAGUGGCGAACGGGUGAGUAACGCGUGAGGAACCUGCCUCAAAGAGGGGGACAACAGUUGGAAACGACUGCUAAUACCGCAUAAGCCCACGGCUCGGCAUCGAGCAGAGGGAAAAGGAGUGAUCCGCUUUGAGAUGGCCUCGCGUCCGAUUAGCUGGUUGGUGAGGUAAUGGCCCACCAAGGCGACGAUCGGUAGCCGGACUGAGAGGUUGAACGGCCACAUUGGGACUGAGACACGGCCCAGACUCCUACGGGAGGCAGCAGUGGGGAAUAUUGCACAAUGGGGGAAACCCUGAUGCAGCGACGCCGCGUGGAGGAAGAAGGUCUUCGGAUUGUAAACUCCUGUUGUUGAGGAAGAUAAUGACGGUACUCAACAAGGAAGUGACGGCUAACUACGUGCCAGCAGCCGCGGUAAAACGUAGGUCACAAGCGUUGUCCGGAAUUACUGGGUGUAAAGGGAGCGCAGGCGGGAGGACAAGUUGGAAGUGAAAUCCAUGGGCUCAACCCAUGAACUGCUUUCAAAACUGUUUUUCUUGAGUAGUGCAGAGGUAGGCGGAAUUCCCGGUGUAGCGGUGGAAUGCGUAGAUAUCGGGAGGAACACCAGUGGCGAAGGCGGCCUACUGGGCACCAACUGACGCUGAGGCUCGAAAGUGUGGGUAGCAAACAGGAUUAGAUACCCUGGUAGUCCACACCGUAAACGAUGAUUACUAGGUGUUGGAGGAUUGACCCCUUCAGUGCCGCAGUUAACACAAUAAGUAAUCCACCUGGGGAGUACGACCGCAAGGUUGAAACUCAAAUGAAUUGACGGAAGGGCGAAUUCUG
Molecule: ribosomal RNA, 902 nt
Filed under: uncultured bacterium
Lineage: Bacteria
Description: bacterial SSU rRNA
Rfam family: Bacterial small subunit ribosomal RNA
Source: RNAcentral